This 204-nucleotide ribosomal RNA is filed under the name uncultured bacterium. RNAcentral describes it as "partial 16S ribosomal RNA". It matches the Rfam family "Bacterial small subunit ribosomal RNA", at positions 568 to 774 of the family's 1533-position model. The record is from RNAcentral.
UGCGCAGGCGGUUCGCCAAGUCAGGUGUGAAAUCCCCGGGCUUAACCUGGGAAUUGCGCUUGAAACUAGCGGGCUUGAGUGCGGCAGAGGGGGUGGAAUUCCACGUGUAGCAGUGAAAUGCGUAGAGAUGUGGAGGAACACCGAUGGCGAAGGCAGCCCCCUGGGUCGACACUGACGCUCAUGCACGAAAGCUGGGAGCAAACA